UACAGCAUAAAUAGAAUCCCAAAGGCAAGUGGAUCUUCUCACUGAUGCUGAGUAUGUGUACUAGUGUCAAGGCACUUGCACAACUUUCACAGGCUAGCACCAGAGGGCUUUGAGAUACUUGGUGUGGUAUAUCUCAGUGCCUCGUUGAAAAAAGUUCUGAUUUUCUGUAAAAAUUUACACCUAAAUGCUUCAAUAUUAAGUGGGACUUGUGACAGGUUUGCAGAUAUGCUAUCGUUGGGCAGGUUAUGUCAGUUGUGAUGGAAAGGAAGUGAUGAAAUAUUGUUACAGUAUGGUAGAGGUUACAUUUACCUACUUCAAAUGUCCUGUUUAGUUUAUAGCAAAAUCAUGCCAAGUAAGUUUCUUUAGUCUUACUUUUCUGCUUACACAAAGAGGCACUUGGUCCUUCAUUACACCAUUUGGACAGCAGCAUGCGUUUUUGCUGAAUUUCAGAGACAGAGCGUUUUUCUACAGCAAUUUACACUCCUACAAUUAUAGCGUUCUGGUGCAGAUAUGGUGUCAGCCCCUCCUCCUUGACCUCUGCCCUUUGAGAAGCGGGCGAAAGUGUGUUUCCUGAUUAACGACUGGCUGAGGUACAUGGCUCCAGCUCCAGCGCCUUGUCCUCCCAAACUGAGGUCACUGCGGAGAGCGACGGCAUUAGAGUGAGGAGGAGGGUCCUUACUCUAUGUGCAAGAAUAUGCUGUGGAAGUUGCAAAGGGCAGAGUCUCUAGGAAAUCUACUCUUUCUUUGAAAAAAUGUCACGGGAGAGAUAGGAGAUUGGCACCACAAAGAGCCUAAAAUAGCACGGGCUGCUACGCGUUGUCAGACAAGAUUUGGGCUGAGACAUUGACUUUUGUUCUGCAAAGUAUUGGCCCCUGAAAGGGAGAUGGGAGGUGUAAAAAUUGUGAUUUCUCCUCUUCCCCUGGUUAUGUGCAAUACAUUACCCUGCUGAUAA
Long non-coding RNA from Thunnus maccoyii (southern bluefin tuna), 952 nucleotides. RefSeq lists it as uncharacterized. The record is from RefSeq and is a predicted model, not a curated record. Lineage: Eukaryota; Metazoa; Chordata; Actinopteri; Scombriformes; Scombridae. The transcript has 2 exons.